ACCGUCCUAAUGUGUUCGUCGGAUCACUGAUCGUUUUGACCGAACAGUUUAUGAUCCGGGAGCUCGGGGUUUCCAAGCGGCGUGCACGCCUCUUCGUCACAGGGGAAGCGCAAACCUUGGAACAGGGCACCCACCUAUGGGAGAGCGGGUUCAAAACGAAGGCAUCGACGGCACGAUUGGGACUGGC
This is a non-coding RNA of Geobacillus sp. CAMR12739, 187 nucleotides long. NCBI's taxonomy places the organism in Bacteria, Bacillati, Bacillota, Bacilli, Caryophanales, Anoxybacillaceae. The record is from Rfam.